RNAcentral lists this ribosomal RNA (482 nucleotides) under uncultured bacterium. RNAcentral's name for it is "bacterial SSU rRNA". It matches the Rfam family "Bacterial small subunit ribosomal RNA", at positions 56 to 524 of the family's 1533-position model. The record is from RNAcentral.
UGCAAGUCGAGGGGUAACAUAGAAAAGCUUGCUUUUCUGAUGACGACCGGCGCACGGGUGAGUAACGCGUAUACAACCUACCUUUUAGCGGGGAAUAGCCCAGGGAAACUUGGAUUAAUGUCCCAUAGUAUGGAGGUCUCUCCUGAGAUCAUCAUUAAACAUUUAUGGCUAUUAGAUGGGUAUGCGUCCUAUUAGUUAGUUGGUAAGGUAACGGCUUACCAAGGCAGCGAUAGGUAGGGGUCCUGAGAGGGAGAUCCCCCACACUGGUACUGAGACACGGACCAGACUCCUACGGGAGGCAGCAGUGAGGAAUAUUGGACAAUGGGCGAAAGCCUGAUCCAGCCAUGCCGCGUGUGUGAAGAAGGUCUUCGGAUUGUAAAGCACUUUAAGUUGGGAGGAAGGGUUGUAGAUUAAUACUCUGCAAUUUUGACGUUACCGACAGAAUAAGCACCGGCUGACUCUGUGCCAGCAGCCGCGGUAAU